This 884-nucleotide ribosomal RNA is filed under the name uncultured bacterium. RNAcentral's name for it is "bacterial SSU rRNA". It matches the Rfam family "Bacterial small subunit ribosomal RNA", at positions 8 to 907 of the family's 1533-position model. The record is from RNAcentral.
AGAGUUUGAUCCUGGCUCAGGACGAACGCUGGCGGCGUGCUUAACACAUGCAAGUCGAACGGAAAGGCCCUUCGGGGUACUCGAGUUGCGAACGGGUGAGUAACACGUGGGUGAUCUGCCCUGCACUUCGGGAUAAGCCUGGGAAACUGGGUCUAAUACCGGAUAUGACCAUGGGAUGCAUGUCUUGUGGUGGAAAGCUUUUGCGGUGUGGGAUGGGCCCGCGGCCUAUCAGCUUGUUGGUGGGGUCAAGGCCUACCAAGGCGACGACGGGUAGCCGGCCUGAGAGGGUGACCGGCCACACUGGGACUGAGAUACGGCCCAGACUCCUACGGGAGGCAGCAGUGGGGAAUAUUGCACAAUGGGCGCAAGCCUGAUGCAGCGACGCCGCGUGAGGGACGACGGCCUUCGGGUUGUAAACCUCUUUCAGCACAGACGAAGCGCAAGUGACGGUAUGUGCAGAAGAAGGACCGGCCAACUACGUGCCAGCAGCCGCGGUAAUACGUAGGGUCCGAGCGCUGUCCGGAAUUACUGGGCGUAAAGAGCUCGUAGGUGGUUUGUCGCGUUGUUCGUGAAAACUCACAGCUCAACUGUGGGCGUGCGGGCGAUACGGGCAGACUAGAGUACUGCAGGGGAGACUGGAAUUCCUGGUGUAGCGGUGGAAUGCGCAGAUAUCAGGAGGAACACCGGUGGCGAAGGCGGGUCUCUGGGCAGUAACUGACGCUGAGGAGCGAAAGCGUGGGGAGCGAACAGGAUUAGAUACCCUGGUAGUCCACGCCGUAAACGGUGGGUACUAGGUGUGGGUUUCCUUCCUUGGGAUCCGUGCCGUAGCUAACGCAUUAAGUACCCCGCCUGGGGAGUACGGCCGCAAGGCUAAAACUCAAAUG